Molecule: non-coding RNA, 24 nt
Filed under: Rattus norvegicus (Norway rat)
Lineage: Eukaryota; Metazoa; Chordata; Mammalia; Rodentia; Muridae
Source: RNAcentral
GCAGAUGGCCAGAGACACUGGAGG